UAUACAUGCAGUCGAGCGGACGACGGGAGCUUGCUCCCUUAGGUCAGCGGCGGACGGGUGAGUAACACGUGGGUAACCUGCCUGUAAGACUGGGAUAACUCCGGGAAACCGGGGCUAAUACCGGAUGCUUGAUUGAACCGCAUGGUUCAAUCAUAAAAGGUGGCUUUUAGCUACCACUURCAGAUGGACCCGCGGCGCAUUAGCUAGUUGGUGAGGUAACGGCUCACCAAGGCGACGAUGCGUAGCCGACCUGAGAGGGUGAUCGGCCACACUGGGACUGAGACACGGCCCAGACUCCUACGGGAGGCAGCAGUAGGGAAUCUUCCGCAAUGGACGAAAGUCUGACGGAGCAACGCCGCGUGAGUGAUGAAGGUUUUCGGAUCGUAAAACUCUGUUGUUAGGGAAGAACAAGUACCGUUCGAAUAGGGCGGCACCUUGACGGUACCUAACCAGAAAGCCACGGCUAACUACGUGCCAGCAGCCGCGGUAAUACGUAGGUGGCAAGCGUUGUCCGGAAUUAUUGGGCGUAAAGCGCGCGCAGGCGGUUUCUUAAGUCUGAUGUGAAAGCCCCCGGCUCAACCGGGGAGGGUCAUUGGAAACUGGGGAACUUGAGUGCAGAAGAGGAGAGUGGAAUUCCACGUGUAGCGGUGAAAUGCGUAGAGAUGUGGAGGAACACCAGUGGCGAAGGCGACUCUCUGGUCUGUAACUGACGCUGAGGCGCGAAAGCGUGGGGAGCGAACAGGAUUAGAUACCCUGGUAGUCCACGCCGUAAACGAUGAGUGCUAAGUGUUAGAGGGUUUCCGCCCUUUAGUGCUGCAGCAAACGCAUUAAGCACUCCGCCUGGGGAGUACGGUCGCAAGACUGAAACUCAAAAGGAAUUGACGGGGGGCCCGCACAAGCU
Molecule: ribosomal RNA, 901 nt
Filed under: Bacillus sp. (in: firmicutes)
Lineage: Bacteria; Bacillati; Bacillota; Bacilli; Caryophanales; Bacillaceae
Description: bacterial SSU rRNA
Source: RNAcentral